CUGCCAGUGCAGUACUGCAUCCGUCGUGAUCCGAAUAAAGCUUAUAUUGUCCACAUUGAUUAAACUAUCAUUAUUAAAAUCAUUUUGAUUCUUCUAUAUUUGUACGUACUUUUUUACAACUCUGAACCCGGAAGCGAGGUAUUCUGGGAAGGUUAUUUUAAAGAUGGCGGGCGUUUUGGAAUUUAUUCGUGGAGUGCAUGAGAAAUGUUCAAUAUACAGCUACUUGGAUUACACAAACAGAGAAAGAUAGAUUAUACCAGUUAAAUUGAGAGGUUUUAUUUGAAAAUCCUAUAUUUGAGCACCAUUCAUGGCAGUCAUGUCGAGGAAGUUAUAAAAAGGUUGAUAAGGGCUUUGUAUAUGGAAGCUAGAUGACAUUACUACUUAUCAUACACAACUAUUUGUCACAUACCGACUUGGGAUUGAAACCAAGCGACUGAACUCAAUAACACUCCUCAAUAACACUCGUCUAUGAAACCACCCAGAUGGCAAAGAAAUAAAGACUUUUUAAUUA
This is a long non-coding RNA of Patella vulgata (common limpet), 511 nucleotides long. RefSeq lists it as uncharacterized. The record is from RefSeq and is a predicted model, not a curated record. The transcript has 3 exons. Lineage: Eukaryota; Metazoa; Mollusca; Gastropoda; Patellidae.